RNAcentral lists this ribosomal RNA (725 nucleotides) under uncultured bacterium. RNAcentral's name for it is "bacterial SSU rRNA". It matches the Rfam family "Bacterial small subunit ribosomal RNA", at positions 49 to 776 of the family's 1533-position model. The record is from RNAcentral.
UUACACAUGCAGUCGAACGGUAGAGUAGCAAUACUCGAGAGUGGCGAACGGGUGAGUAAUAUAUCGGAACGUGCCCAGUCGUGGGGGAUAACGUAGAGAAAUUUACGCUAAUACCGCAUACGAUCUAAGGAUGAAAGCGGGGGAUCGCAAGACCUCGCGCGAUUGGAGCGGCUGAUAUCGGAUUAGGUUGUUGGUGAGGUAAAAGCUCACCAAGCCGACGAUCUGUAGCUGGUUUGAGAGAACGACCAGCCACACUGGGACUGAGACACGGCCCAGACUCCUACGGGAGGCAGCAGUGGGGAAUUUUGGACAAUGGGCGAAAGCCUGAUCCAGCAAUGCCGCGUGCAGGAAGAAGGCCUUCGGGUUGUAAACUGCUUUUGUACGGAACGAAACGGUCUGCUUUAAUACAGUGGGCUAAUGACGGUACCGUAAGAAUAAGCACCGGCUAACUACGUGCCAGCAGCCGCGGUAAUACGUAGGGUGCGAGCGUUAAUCGGAAUUACUGGGCGUAAAGCGUGCGCAGGCGGUUAUAUAAGACAGUUGUGAAAUCCCCGGGCUCAACCUGGGAAUUGCAUCUGUGACUGUAUAGCUAGAGUACGGUAGAGGGGGAUGGAAUUCCGCGUGUAGCAGUGAAAUGCGUAGAUAUGCGGAGGAACACCGAUGGCGAAGGCAAUCCCCUGGACCUGUACUGACGCUCAUGCACGAAAGCGUGGGGAGCAAACAGG